GUUGUUGUGUUGGUUUACAUCAUAUGGUUUAUAAUAUCAUGUUCAUCUCCUAUGCAGAAAACUUGACAUAUAUUCUUGGAUGGCUUAAAGCAAAAAGGAUAUAUAGUUAUAUACGCGAAAUUUUCGUUAAUACUCUCACAUCGUUUAUGAAGUUACUAAACCAUAUCAUUAAACCAUUAUUAAACCAUCUAAAUAAAUUUGAUGCUGAUAGAUGCAAUCCAUGUUCGAAAACUCCGGUAAGACACCUGAUUGAGCGCUGGCUAGACGCUCGACGUGUUUAAAUCUGAUGCUUAAUAACUAAUCUAUUUAUUUGGGACAUAAAUAAGACGAAAUCACUCAACAAUUUGAUUAUUUACAGUUGAUGGCCGCCAUGAAAAUGGUUUGCACAGUCGCAAACUCUAAAAAAAUAUUGGGGAAGAUGAUGAGAAAAUUACCAUUAUGCCACUCAGUAAAUGAAAAAAAUGAAAAAAAAAGCAAAAUACGUUAGGGACAGGUCGAACAAAAGAUCUCCAGAGUAAGGGGCGACUAGUUUUUCCGUUACCACCUGCAAACGCAGCUUUUGCGGUUGGUAACAGUUGUUGGCGGUUUGCAACAAUCAUUCAAAUCGCUCUAAACCGAUUCAAACCGCUCCGAAUCUCAUAAAUUCAAAAGCUGGCUUCAGCUAGCGUUUGUGGUUGCGGGAGGGUAAAUGUUUUUCUUUUUUUUUAAAUAAAAUAUAUAGAAAAUUAAAAAUAAUUAAUAAAAAAUUUAAA
RNAcentral lists this long non-coding RNA (752 nucleotides) under Brassica rapa (field mustard). Its description in RNAcentral is "long non-coding RNA (BRAP_LNC007329)". The record is from RNAcentral. Lineage: Eukaryota; Viridiplantae; Streptophyta; Magnoliopsida; Brassicales; Brassicaceae.